GGGGAAUUAGCUCAGUUGGCUAGAGCGCCUGCUUUGCAAGCAGGAGGUCAUCGGUUCGAUUCCGAUAUUCUCCA
RNAcentral lists this transfer RNA (74 nucleotides) under Tenuifilum thalassicum. It matches the Rfam family "tRNA". Rfam says of the family: Transfer RNA (tRNA) molecules are approximately 80 nucleotides in length. Their secondary structure includes four short double-helical elements and three loops (D, anti-codon, and T loops). Further hydrogen bonds mediate the characteristic L-shaped molecular structure. tRNAs have two regions of fundamental functional importance: the anti-codon, which is responsible for specific mRNA codon recognition, and the 3' end, to which the tRNAs corresponding amino acid is attached (by aminoacyl-tRNA synthetases). tRNAs cope with the degeneracy of the genetic code in two manners: having more than one tRNA (with a specific anti-codon) for a particular amino acid; and 'wobble' base-pairing, i.e. permitting non-standard base-pairing at the 3rd anti-codon position. Lineage: Bacteria; Pseudomonadati; Bacteroidota; Bacteroidia; Bacteroidales; Tenuifilaceae. The record is from Rfam by way of RNAcentral.